GUGGCUAUAGUUUAAUGGUAGAACUGCGGGUUGUGGUCCCGCUAGCGAGGGUCCGAUUCCCUCUAGCCACCCCA
This 74-nucleotide transfer RNA is filed under the name bacterium CG2_30_33_46. RNAcentral's name for it is "tRNA-His". It matches the Rfam family "tRNA". Rfam says of the family: Transfer RNA (tRNA) molecules are approximately 80 nucleotides in length. Their secondary structure includes four short double-helical elements and three loops (D, anti-codon, and T loops). Further hydrogen bonds mediate the characteristic L-shaped molecular structure. tRNAs have two regions of fundamental functional importance: the anti-codon, which is responsible for specific mRNA codon recognition, and the 3' end, to which the tRNAs corresponding amino acid is attached (by aminoacyl-tRNA synthetases). tRNAs cope with the degeneracy of the genetic code in two manners: having more than one tRNA (with a specific anti-codon) for a particular amino acid; and 'wobble' base-pairing, i.e. permitting non-standard base-pairing at the 3rd anti-codon position. RNAcentral also lists the same sequence under 6 other names. The record is from RNAcentral.